RNAcentral lists this ribosomal RNA (2646 nucleotides) under Triticum aestivum (bread wheat). Its description in RNAcentral is "partial small subunit ribosomal RNA". Lineage: Eukaryota; Viridiplantae; Streptophyta; Magnoliopsida; Poales; Poaceae. The record is from RNAcentral.
GAGUAUACCACACGCGAGCCUGGUUAGCAAUCUGAAUAGAGAAAGAGAGAGAAAGAGAGAGAGAGAGAGAGAGAGAGAGAGAGAGAGAGAGAGAGAGAGAUUGAUGGCGCGCGGCGGCGGCGGCGGAGUCGAGUUUCGGCCGCCUCCUGAGAUGGCGAUGGAAGAGAUGGAUCGGCAGCCUGUCGUUGUUUCCGAAGCAAGAAUCCUGAGGAUGGAGAUUGCGUCCCUGGUGAACUUGCUCAUCGAGAAACAAUCUGACGUUCUUUCCUACGAUCCCGAGAUCGUGAGGAAGAUCACGUCCCUGAGGAGCGAGAUCGCGUGCCAGAAGCUGGCGAGGGAGCGCAAAGCCUUGGUUACAGAGGUCAAACGCACAGUGCCGCGGAGGCGCAAAAAGUUUUAUGCAGUGCGGAGGGUCGCUGAGAAGGAGAUCAUGGCCGAUCAGGAGAGCGUGGAUCUGCCUAACUCCGAUACGCAUAGUGUGACCUCCCAAGUCAGUUGCAUCUCCGAGCAGUUGCCCGAGCCCUGUGACCAGAAGGAGAUCGACUCGGAGAAUAACAAAUCAGCUUCCAGAUUCAAAUCCAACUUCGAGCAUGUAUAUUCACCCUACGGUAUUGAGGACGAGGGAGUGCGCCUAAACCGCCAAUUCAGUCAUAUAUUGCAGCACGCGGAUGCCUUGUGUGACGAGAUGGCAUCUAUAGCAUCUAUUCUGAGGAAAAUUAGUGUCCCCAUCAUCUCCUAUUACGAUGUCUCCGAUCUGUGUAACACAGCGCAGAGUUUAUCGAGGAUCUCCAAUAGUAUAUUGUAUAAUAGCAUGAAUGCUGAUAAACAGAUGGCGGUCCAAUAUGCUGAGGACCAGAGGACCAAGGAGGAGAUGACCGAUCAGAUGGGCUAAGGCAAAUCCAGCACCCACUGUCUUGAGAAGCAGAGGACUGAGGAAGAGGUGGAUGUAUCUAUAACAGAUUUGACUGACCAUACCGCUGAUGAUGGCCAGUUGACAGAUGAUGAGGGUGACCAUUUUGUGGGAGCAGAUCUGAUAAGUUGCCUUUCCAACCAGAUGACUGCGUACAUGGAUGAUGGCCAAUCAAGCGCCGAGACGCAUGAGUCGAGGAUGAUGGACAAAGGCAAAUCAAUUAGUGAAGGCAAGUCAAGCAUGGAGACACAUGCGUCGAGGAUGUUGGAUAUGAUGGUGCUGGUUUCUGAUGAUAAGAGUGAGUCGGAUGGUAUGACCAACUUGUGCAAAUAUUACAAGAUGCUCGAAUUUGAGGAUGAGAAGGUGUUGGGCAAGAUGACUGCUGAGAAUUUAAGGAUGUAUUACAAAUUUCGUACGGAGCUAUUAAAGAUGGAAGCCAGCUUACGCGAGUUCCGGGAGCAGAAUGAAAAGGAUGACCUGAGGUGGGAGCAGGAUAAAAAGGACGCACUGAGCUGUUGCAGAACAGACCCGACCCCCUUCUCACUUCAGGACGCGGUAGGGGAGGAGGGAGAGGAGGAGGAGGUGACAGAAUUCACAGAAUCAGACAAAGAGGAGAUGGAGAUGGAGGACAGGUUGUUUUCUGGAAAACGUGAAGUCUGGGAAUCCGCAUGGGGAUGCUGUGGUGAAUUUGAAGACAGUACCGCAGUGAGUCCUAUGCACUUUACACAUUGCACGCCGGGACUGAUCCCGUACGCCGCUCGCUCUGUGAGCACCUUGCAGAUCUACUCCUUGAAGAUUGUUGGAACAGAUGGAAAGUUGAAGUUACCACUCCAUGUGUAUGGUGUUGUUGCUGCCCGAGACACCGUGGACUACAACCGCAACAUUCUCUUCUUUAGGCGAAGGGAAGACUGUCAAAAACUCACUCCAGAGGAUCCAUUUUUGCACUUGACUGGCCCGUCCCGUGCCAUCGUGGCUAUGGACCACGUUGACUUCGAAGUCCAACUGAAAGUAAAGGGUGCAACAAGGUCCAGCGACAGAGCAUUGAUCAGUCGUUGCUGCACUUAUUCUGGUGGUUAUCAUGAAGGUUUAGAUACCGCUCUCAUCAACAACUGCUUUUGCACGGUAGAGUUAAGCUUGGAGCGACUCACAAAGACAGUCCAGGCUACCAUCUUAAGUGUCCGUGUUGUUGAAGGGGGACCUUGGCCUUUUGAAUAUGGUGGUCGGAUUGUGUGCUCCUCACCACCACAGGAAGUUAUGGACUCCCUGGCCAGGCAAGUUGUGUUGGUUGAUUCUCGUUCUUCUGAUGGUGGAGAAAUGCCAAUGGGCACAGAUGGCUACCUUGAUCUGUCAAGGCAUGUUGUUUCUGUAGAACUGGAAGAAAGCCUGCAAUUUGUUAUACAAGCCUACUCGCAGUCUGGUGAUGCUAUUGCUAGACAAGGUCGUGUCAAGUUCAGGGCCGAAUACUGCAAUGUAAGUCGAGGUAUAUGUGAGAUUGGUGACUCUAAGGUGGAGAUUACUGUUGCUUGGUCCAAACUUGUUACCAAAAGGAUGGAUAUCCUCUUAGAAGGACAUGUUUGAUGGUUCUUGUGCGUUGGAGGUUAUGGACUACAGAACCCGUUACCCAAAUUUAUCUGUUUGUCCCUUGCAUGUGGUUUGUGAAACUGCAGAACUAUUUUUGUAUUGAUAUGUCCAACUAUUUGUGUAUCUGACUAUCUGUGUCCACUUCAACUUCUGAU